UGAGAGGUCCAGCUCCACAGUGAGGUGGGGAAAAAAGGAGUGAUUUCCUCUGUCCUCUGCUUUUUCUUCUACUCAGGCCCUUAAAGGAUUUGCUGAUGCUCCUCCCCAAUCUACUUUACUGAGUCUACUAAUUCGAGGGCUGAUCUCAUCCAGAAGAAAGUGUUUAAAAUGGGCACACCAGGGCUAAACGGACAUCAUACUGGGAGACACGUUCUGCAGGUGGAAUGUUCAAGGAGGGAAGCAGAGGAGUUGAGGACUGGACCUUUGUGAUGGGUUUGUCCACCCAGCAGAUCACAGCUCAAAAGUUACUCCACCCGAGAUUCCCUCCCGGGCCACCAUGCCGUGAAGAAGCAUAAGAUGAAAGGCCAUGUGGAGAGAGAAACCAGACCACGCCACCUCCUCCAGCCAGCCCAGCUCAGACCUCCGAGGGGAGUGAGGCCACUGGGACACCCAGGGCCCCCCAGGCCCCCAGCUGCAAGUGUGCAAGCGUGCAAGGGAGCCCAAGGAAGGCCACAAAACUGCCCACUUAACCCUCAC
This is a long non-coding RNA of Manis pentadactyla (Chinese pangolin), 537 nucleotides long. RefSeq lists it as uncharacterized. Lineage: Eukaryota; Metazoa; Chordata; Mammalia; Pholidota; Manidae. The record is from RefSeq and is a predicted model, not a curated record. The transcript is spliced from 3 exons.